Molecule: ribosomal RNA, 406 nt
Filed under: Althepus sp. 267 FL-2018
Lineage: Eukaryota; Metazoa; Arthropoda; Arachnida; Araneae; Ochyroceratidae
Description: partial 16S ribosomal RNA
Rfam family: Bacterial large subunit ribosomal RNA
Source: RNAcentral
CCUGCUCAAUGAUAGUUAAAUAGCCGCUAUUAUAUAGUGCUAAGGUAGCAUAAUCACUUGUCUUUUAAUUAAAGAAUAGAAUGAAAGGAAUAACGAAUUAAAAACUUUAUUUAUUCUAAUUUAUAAAACUAAUAUAAAAGUAAUAAAGCUUUUUUAAAAAGAAAAGACGACAAGACCCUAAAGAACUUCACUAAAAGUUAAGCUGGGGUGGCUAUAUUUAUAAAAACUAAUACCUCACAACAAAAAACCUAAUUAAAUAUAAUUACAAGUUACCUUAGGGAUAACAGAAUAAUUUAGACAUAGAGAUCUUAUCUAAGUCAAUCAUUAUUACCUCGAUGUUGAAUUACUAAACAAAUAAAAGUAAAUUUUUAUAAAGUAAGUCUGUUCGACUUUUAAACAAGUACAU